Regulatory RNA element from Alligator mississippiensis (American alligator), 54 nucleotides. It matches the Rfam family "Editing element of GABA-3 exon 9". The record is from Rfam. NCBI's taxonomy places the organism in Eukaryota, Metazoa, Chordata, Crocodylia, Alligatoridae.
AAAGUAUCCUAUGCCACUGCCAUGGACUGGUUCAUAGCUGUCUGCUUUGCUUUU